GUGGAUUAGAUACCCCAGUAGUCCACGCCGUAAACGGUGGGUACUAGGUGUGGGUUUCCUUCCACGGGAUCCGUGCCGUAGCUAACGCAUUAAGUACCCCGCCUGGGGAGUACGGCCGCAAGGCUAAAACUCAAAGGAAUUGACGGGGGCCCGCACAAGCGGCGGAGCAUGUGGAUUAAUUCGAUGCAACGCGAAGAACCUUACCUGGGUUUGACAUACACCAGAAAGCCGUAGAGAUACGGCCCCCCUUGUGGUUGGUGUACAGGUGGUGCAUGGCCGUCGUCAACU
This 288-nucleotide ribosomal RNA is filed under the name uncultured bacterium. RNAcentral describes it as "partial 16S ribosomal RNA". It matches the Rfam family "Bacterial small subunit ribosomal RNA", at positions 773 to 1060 of the family's 1533-position model. The record is from RNAcentral.